RNAcentral lists this ribosomal RNA (253 nucleotides) under uncultured bacterium. Its description in RNAcentral is "partial 16S ribosomal RNA". It matches the Rfam family "Bacterial small subunit ribosomal RNA", at positions 524 to 776 of the family's 1533-position model. The record is from RNAcentral.
AACGUAGGUGGCAAGCGUUAUCCGGAAUUACUGGGCGUAAAGGGUGUGCAGGCGGGGAAGCAAGUGGGGUGUGAAAUCUCCAGGCUUAACCUGGAGGGGUUAUGCCAGACUGCAUCUCUAGAGGACGAGAGAGGGGGGUGGAAUUCCGGGUGUAGUGGUGAAAUGCGUAGAGAUCCGGAGGAACCCCAGAGGCGAAGGCGGCCCCCUGGCUCGUACCUGACGCUCAGCCACGAAAGCAUGGGGAGCGAACGGG